CGCUCUCAGCCUGAUCCUUGCUCGACCUAAGCCUUUGACAAUGAGCGAGGUGAGCAAAGUUUCAGGUGCGUGAGCGG
Daphnia pulex (common water flea) is the source of this 77-nucleotide non-coding RNA. The record is from Rfam. NCBI's taxonomy places the organism in Eukaryota, Metazoa, Arthropoda, Branchiopoda, Diplostraca, Daphniidae.